GAGCAGUCUGCGUACUAUUAGCUUGUUGGUGGGGUAAAGGCCUACCAAGGCUUAGAUGGUUAGCGGGCGUGAGAGCGUGGCCCGUCUCACUGGGACUGAGACACUGCCCAGACACCUACGGGUGGCUGCAGUCGAGAAUCUUCCGCAAUGGGCGAAAGCCUGACGGAGCAAUGCCGCGUGGUGGAUGAAGGCCCUCGGGUUGUAAACACCUGUCAGUAGGGAGGAAAUUUUGACCGAUCUACAGAGGAAGUCCGGGCUAAGUUCGUGCCAGCAGCCCGCGGUAAGACGAACCGGACGAACGUUAUUCGGAAUCACUGGGCUUAAAAGAGUGCCGUAGGCGGCUUGGUAGGUUGGGUGNUGAAAUCCCCACAGCUCAACUGGUGGAACUGCGCUCAAAACCCCCAAGCUUGAGGAAGGCAGAGGUGAGCGGAACUGAUGGUGGAGCGGUGAAAUGCGUUGAUAUCAUCAGAACACCGGUGGCGAAGGCGGCUCACUGGGUCUCUUCUGACGCUCAGCACGAAAGCUAGGGUAGCGAACGGGAUUAGAUACCCCGGUAGUCCUAGCUGUAAACGUUGAGCACUGGAUCGAGGGGGCUUCCACACCCUCUCGGUCGUAGCGAAAGU
RNAcentral lists this ribosomal RNA (623 nucleotides) under uncultured bacterium. Its description in RNAcentral is "bacterial SSU rRNA". It matches the Rfam family "Bacterial small subunit ribosomal RNA", at positions 224 to 858 of the family's 1533-position model. The record is from RNAcentral.